UCCUUCAAUUAAAUUUUGAAUCAUCUGAAAACAAAACUUGACCACUAUCGCAAGUCAUAAUACACAAAAAGACGCUACUGAAGACUUUAAAUAGCUUGACGGGAUAAAAAUGCUUAAAACGACAGGUCAGGUCGUUACACUAAAUAAUUACAUCCAAACUUGAGAUAAAACCCAAAUACACAAGCAAAUUGACAAUCACAAAAGUUAGAUAAAAUGAAUGGCAAAAGAAUUAAAAGAAGAACGCCAUAGGUGCCCCCAAGCGUUUCGCUUGUUUUCUUGCUAUUUGGUGCAUUCUAAGAAAGACGGUGUAGGAUGUGAUGACUCCAUGCUCGGGUAGUGUUGAGUCUCUAUGAGACUCCACUGCUAGAGUCUUGAAUUAAGACUCCAUUUGCUCCAAAAUGUACAUACAGAGAAUGGGAAAAGGAAAAGAAAAUUAGGGGAAGGAAUUUAAGUCUGUGAUAUACAAAAAUGGAACACACAAGACAAGUCUAUCUGCAACAACCUAGAAGCUUGAAAACAGUAGCAUACUACAUAAAAAUGAUUCUUAAAGGGAAGUAAUGAUUUAUAAUAUGAGUUAAGGGAAAAUCAAGCAAACAGGGAUACUUUCUACUACUUUACGUUAUUUAAAAAUAAAAAUGCGAGAAAAAAAAUCAUACCCAGUAAUAAGAUCUCUAAAAUAGAAUAUAUAUGAGUGCAUAUUAGUAUUCAUUAUUAGCUCAAGGGAAUGGGUCCUAAAUAAAGUGUUUUAAGCCUGAGGUCUAAAGGAAAAGUUUGACAGCAUGCGAAAUUGAAUAAACAUCUUCAAGUCCUACAAUUAUGACCUCUAGAUUUUUUCUACAAAAUAUCACUCCUACCACCUGAGAACACCAUAACGUUUUAACAAAAAAAAUCCUUUAAUUUACACAGUCCAAAAAUGAGUGAACGACGACAAAAUUAAUUAUCACGAUGACUAAUAAGUUAAAUGUGAACUGUUGAACUUAUAAGUAAGUUAUUUAGUUACGCGAUUUCAGAUAAUCAGGAUCCCCAGUAUAUUAAAAAAAUAAAAGAUUCAAUUCCAGAAUUCACUCAUAUAUAUUUAGCACUCGUUCUUAAUACAUUUUAGGAUACUUAAUCGAGAUAAGUGAAAAAGAUUAUGCCUUGUACAAUCUGAAUAACUUAAGGCUUAGUUUCAAGAGACAUAUAUUCAGUUUAUUAUCCUCAAAUUUUACAUAUAUCUUGAUCAUGUUUUGAACAUACAAACAUUUUAUAUGAGUAAGGUUCAGAACUAUCUACUAUUUAAUUUGCAAUAAACAUACGGACAACUGAAGCAUGGUCUUUAAGAAAGAGAAUCCUAGAGCAUGAUCUCUAAUGUAUGACCAAUAACUAAAGAAAAACUAGAACAUAUCAGCUAGCAAAAUUAGAUAUUGAUUUAUGCAUCAUUAACUAUCACAAGAAUACUCAAAAUACGAGGAGCAAACCAGAACUAGCAAUACGCUUAAACAGAUGAUAAAUCUUAUACAUGUUUUGACCAGAAGCAAAAAUGGGAAAAGAAGUGACCUUUUGCGGUGCAGUGAACUUGGGGCGUGCAAAUAGGUCUACUGUUUUCAGUCUAAGAUCCGCUAACUGGAACGACAGUCAAACUCCGAAAACAAAGACGGUAAUGCCUCUAUUAUAUGUUUACAGAACCAAGAGAGAAGCAAGCUUUUGGAAAGUGGUUUAAAGGAGUAAAAAUGGGAGAGGAGUAACGGCACAAGGGUCUGAAGCGGCGGAUACCAAGGUGCUGAAAAUAGUCACAAAGUCUGGUAUUUAUAGGUGUAAAAUUAGGGUUCUUGCUUCCUUUGAGCGGGAAUUUGAAAUUCGGAUUUCAAAAGAAGUCAAAUGGAUCCGUUUGAAUUUUAAUGUUGAAACCUUUUAGAUGGAUUGGAUCUUCACGUGAUUCUUCAGGGAUAUGCUUCAGGUUACACUCGAAAUGGUGAGAUAUGCUCUGCCACGUAUGGAUUUGAAGGUCAAACUUUGGCUAAAAAUGGAGAAAAAUGCCAAGAGAACUCUGCCAUAGCAGAGAAUGAAAGGGACAAUGGAGAGUGGGAAAGGGAAGGCUUCUGUUUCUGAGAGAGAAUAAGGGACCCUAGGUGAUUUUUGGAAUUGGGCUUUUGAGACUUAAAAAUAAGGGAUUUUUACGUACCUAUACCAUAUACCAAAUCUUAUUAUCUUCAUUGUUUAAGGAUUGUGUUAAUUACAUUUAAGCAUACCAAAUUACCAUUUAUAUACCAUAAUUCCUUCAUUUAUUGUAGGCGUGAUUUUAGGACCAUAUUUUCACUUUAUUUCGUUUACCCGCCUCUCUCUCCUCCCACCCCCUACGAUUUACCUUCAGUUAAUCUCCCCUCCCCCCUCCCCCACGAUUUACCUUCAGUUUUCCCCCCAUUCUCGUACAAUCUCUUCUCACCCACAAUUACCAUCACUUUCUUCUCCAUUUAAUUACCUUCAGUUGUAUCCCCCACGAUUUGAAUUCACUUCCAUCUUUGACCUCUCUUUUUUUUUGGCAGUGGUUGAAGGUUAC
RNAcentral lists this long non-coding RNA (2536 nucleotides) under Nicotiana tabacum (common tobacco). RNAcentral describes it as "long non-coding RNA (NTAB_LNC000905)". The record is from RNAcentral. Lineage: Eukaryota; Viridiplantae; Streptophyta; Magnoliopsida; Solanales; Solanaceae.